UUUAACGACCGCUCGCUCGCUUGACCUCAGAACCAUCAAAACGAUCCACUAUACCUAUUUGUAGCACGACACGAUUUGCCUCUUGCCUAUUUCUCCUCUUCGUCUCCCUCUCGCAAUUUGUCGAUCUUCGCUGGAACCCGAUGAGUUACCGCCUCCACGAUCGCCGUCAAGACUGGCGGCCGGGAAGGUCUUACAAGUGGCGGGAGCAGCAUCCGCCGCCGCCGCCGUUGACCUAUCGUGGGCAGCCGUCGGGUCCUUGUCCCCAUCCGGUUCGUGAACAACCGUUGCCUCCGAUUUCGUCGUCUUGCUUUACUCUUGUCCUCCGACGCCGCCCCAGCGGCCGUGGAUUCCCUUGCCCCAAGGUAAUUGAAGACCUAAUCUCUAACUGCCCGGCGGUCCCCAGCGAUUUCUUCGUCUGUGGAGACGGACCGGUUGCUGCGAAGUUAUUUUUUCAGCAGUGGUGUCAUGUCCUAGAGGCGCUUGCUUUUUUCUGGCGCCUUCGUCUCCAAAGCAUUCACCUGCUGACGCCGUCGCUGAUUUCCACGGUCUCGGUCCCUUCCGAUCGCGAUGAGUUGGAGGAACGCCUGCGAGUACUCUUUACGAGUCACAUCAACGUUUUGCUGGAAGGGAGUUCGGUUCAGAAAAUUAAUUGUAGGAUUGGUGAGGUUUCUGCAGAGUUGAAGAAAGUUGGGAAAUGCCUUUCCCGACCCCAGCUCUGGGGGGUUAAUACGAAGUUGCAGGAAGACAGGAAGAGUCUGGAAGAGGAAUUAGGGUUGCUGAAGGAUAGGCUGGAAGAAUUCCGUGCUGCUAUGAGUUGCUUGCUUGAUCACAUUGGCGGGAAGAAGCAUCUUGGGACUCAGGAGGAAGGGCAGGUUGAGAUUUUUAGAUUUGGUGCUGAACUUGACUGGGCCCGGAUUCACCAUAUCAUUUUGAGGGAGUGCAAGAGACUCGAUAGUGGUUUGCCUAUAUACUCUUGCCGGAGGGAAAUUCUAAGGGGCGUAUCUUCUAAUCAGGUUGUAGUCUUGAUUGGGGAGACAGGUUCUGGAAAGAGUACACAGCUGGUACAGUUUCUUGCUGACUCUGGCUUAGCUACUAAUGGAUCUAUUAUCUGCACUCAACCCCGCAAGAUUGCUGCUAUGACGCUUGCAAGGAGGGUCUGUGAAGAAACUAUUGGGUGUCAUGCAGACAACUUCGUCAGUUCGCAUGCUUCCUCCUCAGUCUUGCAGAGGUUAAGUUCUGGGAUAAUAUAUAUGACGGAUCACUGUCUACUGCAACGCUAUAUGAAUGAUUCAAGUUUAAGUGGCAUUUCACACAUCAUUGUUGAUGAAGCUCAUGAAAGAAGUCUGAGUACUGAUCUCUUAUUGGCAUUAAUUAAGAAAAAAAUGCUUGAGAGAUUUGAUUUACGUAUUAUAAUAAUGUCUGCUACUGCUGAUGCUAUCAAACUGGCAGAUUUUUUUUAUGAUUGUUGCACCUUUCAUGUCAAAGGGAGGACUUUUCCUGUUGAUAUCAAAUAUGUUACUGAUGUGUCUAAUGAGGGACUUUGGUGUAAGAUUCCAAAACAUAUCCCUUUCAAUUAUCCUUCAUACCUUUCUGAUGUUAUUAAGCUGGUGGGCAUAAUUCACAAUAAGGAGGAGGGUGGUGGAAUUCUGGCAUUUUUGACUUCUCAAACUGAAGUAGAAUGGGCUUGUGAAAACUUUAGGGAUUCUUCAGCAGUGGUCUUACCUUUGCAUGGAAAACUUUCUCACGAAGACCAAGUCCGUGUUUUUAAUAAUUACCCAGGGAAGAGAAAAAUAAUUUUUUCGACAAAUGUGGCAGAGACUUCUCUUACUAUACAUGGUAUCAAAUAUGUGGUUGACUCUGGCAUGGUUAAGGAGAGCAGAUUUGAAGCAAGUACUGGCAUGAAUUUGCUGAAGGUUUCAUGGACCAGUCAAAGUUCAGCCAAUCAGAGAUCUGGCCGAGCAGGUAGAACAGAACCGGGCAAAUGCUACAGGAUUUAUUCUAAGUCAGAUUUCCAGUCAAUGCCAGUGCAUCAAGAGCCUGAAAUUCGUAAAGUUCACCUUGGAAUCGCACUUUUGAGGAUCCUUGUCUUGGGCAUGAAGAAUGUACAGGACUUCGAGUUUGUUGAUGCUCCGAGCCCAGAGGCGAUUGACAAAGCAAUGCAGAAUCUGGUCCAGUUGGGCGCUGUGGUAUGCAAAAAGCAUUUUUUUGAGCUUACUGAUACUGGUCGUGCUUUUGUUAAAUUAGGCAUUGAGCCUCGGCUUGGCAAAAUAAUACUUGAAUCAUUUUCAUGUGGAUUGAGGAAGGAGGGUGUCGUACUUGCUGCGGUUAUGGCAAAUUAUAGUAGUAUAUUUUGUCGAGUUGGCAGCGAUGAUGAUAAGCGAAAAGCUGACCGCUUAAAGAUCCCUUUUUGCCACCGUGAAGGAGAUCUUUUUACUCUGCUUUCUGUUUACAUGGAAUGGGAAAGUGUAGACACAAAUAAAAACCAUUGGUGCUGGCAGAAUAGCAUCAAUGCCAAGUCGAUGGGAAGAUGUCACGAAACUGUAUUGGAGUUAGAAAACUGCCUCAAACAUGAGCUCAAUAUGAUAACUCCCAGCUAUUUUUUAUGGAAUCCGCAUAAACCUAGUGAAUAUGAUAAGGAUCUAAAGAAGAUCAUACUCUCUUCUCUUGUGGAGAAUGUAGCUAUGUACACUGGAUAUGAUCGACUUGGUUAUUUAGUGGCUUUAACAGGGCAAAAACUGCAGCUUCAUCCUUCCUGUUCACUGCUGAUGUAUGGGCAGAAGCCAAGCUGGAUAGUAUUUACUGAAAUAUUAUCAAGCGAAAAUCAGUAUCUGGUUUGUGCUACUUCUGUUGACUAUGAAAGCCUGUGUGAGAUUCAGCUUCCUCUUAAUCUUGCACGAUUGGAGGAGCAGAAGAUGCUUGAGAAGAUUAUUAGCGGGCUUGGAAAUAAUAUGCUUCGAAGGUUAUGUGGCAAGUCAAACCACAACAUUGAAAGCAUUAUGUCAUACAUUCAGAAAGAAUGCAUGGACGAACACAUCCAUAUUAGAGCUGAUUUCGAUAGAAGAGAGAUUCAGUUAUUUGCCGCUGCAAGGAAUUUGGAAAAGGUUUCUUCCAUGGCUACUGAUAUUUUAGAGUGUGAAAAAAGAUUGUUGAAGGACGAGUGCAUCGAGAAAUGCUUGUUCAUUGCUGUUCCUGGAAGUUUUCCCUCCUUUGCACUAUUUGGUUCCGGUGCUGAAAUUAGGCAUUUGGAACUCGACAACCGGUGUUUAACAGUGGAAAUAUUCCAUCCUUGUGCACGUGAUGUGAAUGAUAUGGAACUUAUUCUGCUGAUUGACAAGAAUAUCUCAGGUAUAGCUAACUUCUCUAUAGUUGGAGGGAAUGGGCAAGAUGGACCAGACUCCUGUAAGUGGGGCAAAGUAACAUUUCUUAAACCUGAAGAUGCACAGAAAGCCAUAACUAAGUUAAACGGGUUAGAAUUUCACGGGAACUUUUUAAAAGUGGUGCCUGCAAUGGUAGCAGAACGUAGAAAUUUACCUUUUCCUUCUGUGAGGACAAAAGUCUGUUGGCCUCGAAGGCCUAGCAAGGGAGUUGCACUUGUUGAAUGUUCUGCUGAGAAUGCUGAAUUUAUUGUCAGCAAUUGUGAACCUAUCUUUGUUGGAGGAGGUUAUGUAGGUUGUUCUGUCAGCACGAAGUACCCAAACUGUCUUUUUGUGACAGGAAUUCGAAAAGAUGUUUCGGAAUCGGAAAUAUAUAAUGAUUUUCAAAAUGUAACUAAGGGGAAAAUUAACGGUGUUAAACUUUUGAGGGGAGAUCCUAUCAAUACCCUUCCAGUUGAUAGUUGUGAACGCGCACUUGUUCAAGAAAUUGCUCCUUUGAUGCCUAAUAGGCAGCACUCUUUGAGAAGUUUUCGGGUUGAAGUUUUUGAGUCCGAGCCAAGUGAUUGUAUGGUGAGAGCAGCUAUCAGUUUUGAUGGAAGUUUACAUCUAGAGGCAGCAAAGGCUUUGGAUCAUCUCCAAGGAAAAGUCCUUCCUGGCUGUCUCCCAUGGCAGAAGAUAGAAUGUCAGGAUAUGUUUCGUAGUUCCAUUUCUUGUUCUGCACGGAUUUUUUCAGUCAUCAGAGAACCGCUGGUGUCUUUGCUUGAAAUGUUUAAAAUUCAGAAAGGUGUAACCUAUUCAGUGGAUAGAAAUCUCAAUGGUUCCUACCGAGUGAAGUUAUCGGCUCAUGCAACCAAGAUUGUUGCAGAUCUGAGGAAACCUCUUGAGAAUCUGAUGAGAGGAAAGGCCCUGACUCAUCCUGGCCUAACUCCUACAAUGAUGCAGCUCCUAUUUUCUCGUGAUGGCAUCAUUCUUAUCAAGUCUUUAGAGAGGGAGACUGGAACUUACAUUUUCUAUGACAAACAUAACCUUCGCAUUAAGCUGUUUGGCGCUCCAGAAAAAUGUGUUGGGGUUGAGGAAAAACUGGUUCAAUCCUUGCAAAAUCUUAAUGCGAACAGGCAACUAGAAAUUCGCCUUCGAGGUCACAAUCUUCCUGCAAAUCUAAUGAAAGAGGUCAUCUUGAGAUUUGGUGCUGACCUUCAAGGGCUUAGGUUGCUUGUUCCUGGGAUUGAGUUAACUCUUAACACCCGGUGGCAUGUCCUAUAUGCUCGGGGCAGCAUGGAGCAAAAGCAAAAGGUGGAAGAGGUUAUUUCUGGUAUGGCACUCUCCCUAGGCAGCGACUGUCUUCCUGCAUUAGCCAUUCCUGAAACCAUGUGUCACAUUUGCUUGUGUGAGCUGGAUGAACCCUUCUGUCUUGAAUCAUGCGGGCACAAGUUCUGUCAGGCCUGCCUGGUGAACCAAUGUGAGGCAGCUAUAAGGUCUCGGGAUGGGUUUCCGCUGAGGUGUGCUAAGGAGGGCUGCCAGGACCGUUUUCUACUCACUGACCUAAAAGCCCUUCUUCUUGGAGAGAGGCUGGACGAACUCUUCCAGGCCUCGAUCAUCUGGUUUGUAUCAAAAAGUGGUGGGGAAUACCGCUUCUGCCCCACUCCAGACUGUCCAGGGAUCUACAAAAUGGCUACCUCGGAGGAGCAGGCUGUGGCUGAUGGACCCUUUGUGUGUGGAGCUUGCUCUGUUGAAAUAUGUACUUGGUGCCACUUGGAAUAUCAUGCAUUAAUCAGCUGUGAGCGGUACAGGGAGUACAAAGACAAUCCUGAUUUUUCACUAUUUAAUUGGAGAUUGGGGAAGGAGAAUGUGAAGGAUUGCCCUGUCUGUAAGCAUGUGAUUGAAAAGAUUGAUGGGUGUAACCAUAUCGAGUGCCGGUGCGGCCGGCAUAUAUGUUGGGUAUGCCUUGAGGUAUUUACGACCGGUGAUGGCUGCUACUCACACCUCAGAUCAUGUCAUGAUAUAUGAUUUAAUAAAUGUUUGCAUAAAUGAUGUUUUCUUGGUACAUCUGAUGUAUAUAUGGAAGUGUAUAUGUAUGCAUGUAUAGAGUUAUAUAUGUAUGUAAAUGGCAUUGAAGUAGUAAUAUGCUAAGAAUUGAUGGAGAUUGCAAAGGAAGCACGCUGUAUGCACCCCGUCAAGGAAGAUGUUUCACAUACUAUGCCCUCAAUAACUUUCCACAUUGUAAAACUGAUAUAUUGCUGAAGAUAUGUGUUUAUGUUUAUCUAACCAAACAAGAGGGACAAGUUCCUCGGUCUCCUCUGCUUCUGCAAAGUGGACACCUAGGCUCUUCUUGCAAAGGUUCAUAAUUUGGCAACCAUCUUGACAUGGGGAGGGAAGAAGGGGUUGUGCCCAUUAAUCUCACAACCCGGUCUCGCUCUGGGUGCGUGGGAGAGUUUAUCAGGAAAGUUGCUUUUGUUCUCACACAUGUUCCUCAGUCAUCUAGAUUUUUGCAUGGUUAAGAUUUCAAGCAGCGAAAAGAUAAUAGUUGGUUACUUUUUACAAAUCUUAUGUUCUUUAGAUAUUUUAUCUCAACCAUUCUAGAUGGUGUAAGUAGUGUGAGGAGUUGUAAGUGGGAUAUAAAACUUACGAUGAUGAUGAUUAUGGGCACAUAAAACAGUUGCAUUGGGCUAAUUAGCUGAGCAGCAACAGACUUAUUCCAGUAGUUUGUAGAAGAACGGGGCAAUAUUAGCCGCUAGGAGUUGUAAGUGGCAUGCACUUUCCUUCAGCAAUUUCGCAAUUUCAUUUUGUUAUGGGUGGAGGAUGACUAAUUGAAGAUUUAUAUGCACAUGGGGCCAUUUAAUGGCGAUGAGGGUUUUAACUAAAGCCAGAGUGCUAAUUUUUUUGAGUUCCGGUAUAUGCUUGAUUUCAAGAGGCUGAUGGAACCCUGCAAUUUUACCUGGUUGGUUUCUUUCGUUGCUCUACUUUGGUUAUGUUUGGAAUUUAGGGAAGUGAUGGAAAUGCUUUGUAAUUUGUUCUGUAGCUUGAAACUAGUUCCUAGAUUUAGUUUUUCGGCACAUUUUCCCGAUUAAUCUCACUUUGUUCACGCCAUCCAAACAGAGAGUUUAUAGAUCCUUAUCUUAAAAUUUUGUGGUUUAUGUUGUCA
Molecule: RNA transcript, 6516 nt
Organism: Dendrobium catenatum
Lineage: Eukaryota; Viridiplantae; Streptophyta; Magnoliopsida; Asparagales; Orchidaceae
Gene name: ATP-dependent RNA helicase DEAH11, chloroplastic
Exons: 6
Source: RefSeq, a predicted model, not a curated record